Molecule: ribosomal RNA, 393 nt
Filed under: uncultured bacterium
Lineage: Bacteria
Description: partial 16S ribosomal RNA
Rfam family: Bacterial small subunit ribosomal RNA
Source: RNAcentral
AUACGGAGGAUGCAAGCGUUAUCCGGAUUUAUUGGGUUUAAAGGGUGCGUAGGCUGUGGGGAAAGUCAGGGGUGAAAGCCCGGCGCUUAACGCCGGAACUGCCUUUGAUACUUCUCCGCUGGAAUACGGAUGCCGUGGGAGGAAUGAGUAGUGUAGCGGUGAAAUGCAUAGAUAUUACUCAGAACACCGAUUGCGAAGGCAUCUCACGAAUCCGUCAUUGACGCUGAGGCACGAAAGCGUGGGGAUCAAACAGGAUUAGAUACCCUGGUAGUCCACGCAGUAAACGAUGAUAACUAACCGUCGGCGAUACACAGUUGGUGGCCAAGCGAAAGCGAUAAGUUAUCCACCUGGGGAGUACGUUCGCAAGAAUGAAACUCAAAGGAAUUAACGGGG